UCUAAGUCUGUAGGGCUCCAGAAGAUGUCACUUCUUAAUGUCACUUCAAUAUAGUUACGUUGAAGGAAAUCUGUUAAUGUUCACUCACCCGAGUAAACCCAGAACCCACUUUAGUAGCUACAUAGGUCCUAAUAUAUUCCUUUACUAAGCUCCUGUUUUUACAGUUUGAUUCCAUAAAAUGUUUCAAGAUGUUGUCAUGCACCUGCAACUUCAACAAAAUCUUAAGUGAGAAAGACUGCAUCAUUCAUAUCCACGGCACAAAGUCAGCUCUGCACAUUCAUCCAGGAGCCCGCUAAAACUUGAAAAAAUGUGACAUCAAUUGCUGAUCAUACAUGAAUGAAGAUUAUGGAAGAGAAAACCUCAACUUGCUUAUAUUUGAGUUGACUUCUCUCCUUUUCUGAAGGCAUUGAAUCAUACUGGAGUUUAAAUCCAAAGAUACUGGCAACUUUUUACUUUUCAGUCUGCGAACAGAUCAUGGAAGGAAAUUCCUGAUAGGAAACUCAUUACUGCCUGUCUGGAAAGGCUUCACAGGAAAAUGAUAUAGCAUGUGACAACAGAUAUACAUACAAAAAAAAACCACCAGAGAAAUGAGGUUUCAACUGAAAUGCUCAUCCAUUUCAAUUUAUUCAUGCCUUUGAGGCAGUAGAUAGCAAACUGGAAUUAACUUUUAUUGCAAUGAUUAACAUUUAUUUAAAAAUAUUGGAAAUGGGAUAUCAACACUUUAUUAAAAUCUUAUUUCCAUGAUUCUCCACAUAUGGGAAUGGGCAAGGGCAUAGAAAUUUAUGCGAUCACUAGAAUUAGUGAGGAGUUAGCCAGCCUGUAUCUAAUUAACACCUAAUUAAUCGUACAUGUCAGCAAAUUUAUGUGACUAUACUGUAGCUUUGUGUUAUUUUAUUGCCAGUAUUUAUCAUUAAGAAGUACCCAACAUGAGCAAGACGAAUGUAGUGUACAAAAUACCAUGCAAGGACUGCACUAAACACUAUAUAAGACAACC
Chiloscyllium plagiosum (whitespotted bambooshark) is the source of this 994-nucleotide non-coding RNA. The record is from RefSeq and is a predicted model, not a curated record. NCBI's taxonomy places the organism in Eukaryota, Metazoa, Chordata, Chondrichthyes, Orectolobiformes, Hemiscylliidae.